Molecule: ribosomal RNA, 253 nt
Filed under: uncultured bacterium
Lineage: Bacteria
Description: partial 16S ribosomal RNA
Rfam family: Bacterial small subunit ribosomal RNA
Source: RNAcentral
UACAGAGGUGGCAAGCGUUGUUCGGAAUUACUGGGCGUAAAGGGUGCGUAGGCGGCUUUCUAAGUUGGAUGUGAAAACUCUGGGCUCAACCCAGAGCCUGCAUCCAAAACUGGAGAGCUUGGGUUCUGGAGGGGAAAGCGGAAUUCCUGGUGUAGCGGUGAAAUGCGUAGAUAUCAGGAGGAACACCGGUGGCGAAGGCGGCUUUCUGGACAGAUACCGACGCUGAGGCACGAAAGCUAGGGGAGCAAACAGG